CCUACGGGAGGCAGCAGUGAGGAAUAUUGGUCAAUGGACGGAAGUCUGAACCAGCCAUGCCGCGUGCAGGAAGACGGCUCUAUGAGUUGUAAACUGCCUUUGUACGAGGGUAAACGCAGAUACGCGUAUCUGUCUGAAAGUAUCGUAAGAAUAAGGAUCGGCUAACUCCGUGCCAGCAGCCGCGGUAAUACGGAGGAUUCAAGCGUUAUCCGGAUUUAUUGGGUUUAAAGGGUGCGUAGGCGGUCGGAGAAGUUAGAGGUGAAAUCCCGAGGCUCAACUUCGGAAUUGCCUCUGAUACUGUACGGCUAGAGAGUAGUUGCGGUAGGCGGAAUGUAUGGUGUAGCGGUGAAAUGCAUAGAGAUCAUACAGAACACCGAUUGCGAAGGCAGCUUACCAAGCUACUACUGACGUUGAGGCACGAAAGCGUGGGGAGCAAACAGGAUUAGAUACCCCUGUAGUC
This 460-nucleotide ribosomal RNA is filed under the name uncultured bacterium. Its description in RNAcentral is "partial 16S ribosomal RNA". It matches the Rfam family "Bacterial small subunit ribosomal RNA", at positions 338 to 795 of the family's 1533-position model. The record is from RNAcentral.